This 776-nucleotide ribosomal RNA is filed under the name uncultured Neocallimastigales. RNAcentral's name for it is "partial large subunit ribosomal RNA". The stretch from base 1 to 694 matches the Rfam family "Eukaryotic large subunit ribosomal RNA", at positions 26 to 664 of the family's 3401-position model. Lineage: Eukaryota; Fungi; Neocallimastigomycota; Neocallimastigomycetes; Neocallimastigales. The record is from RNAcentral.
CGUCUAUAUACGUAUAGCAUAUCAAUAAGCGGAGGAAAAGAAACUAACAAGGAUUCCCUUAGUAACGGCGAGUGAAGCGGGAAGAGCUCAAAUUUGAAAUCUUCAGGGUUCUACCUUGACGAAUUGUAGUUUAUAGAAGUGUUUUCUGUUAGUAGAGUGGCAAAAGUUCUUUGGAAUAGGACAUCAUAGAGGGUGAGAAUCCCGUAUUUGGUCAUUCUUUCUAGCUUUGUGAUACACUUUCAACGAGUCGGAUUGUUUGGGAAUGCAGUCCAAAAUGGGUGGUAAAUUUCAUCUAAAGCUAAAUAUUGGCGAGAGACCGAUAGCGAACAAGUACCGUGAGGGAAAGAUGAAAAGAACUUUGAAAAGAGAGUAAAACAGUACGUGAAAUUGUCAAAAGGGAAGCGUUUGACACCAGUGUUGUUUUUCCGAAAAUCAAUUACGAAUGUUUUGUUUUUAAGAAGUUAUGACUUCAUCGGCUUGCUUCUUUCUUUACGAAACUUUCUUAAUGCACUUUUCGGUUAACAAGUCAACAUCAAUUUCUUUUGUUGUAAAAGGGUAUGAGGAAGGUGGCUUUCUUUUCGGAGAAAGUGUUUAUAGCCUUGUACCUCUGCAAUCGGAGAGAUUGAGGGUCUGCAGCGUAGAUCCUUCGGGGUUAGAUACAUUUGUGCUAAGCUAUAGUUCUUCAUAGACAACUUGUUGACUAUAGUCAAGUCCUGUAGCUUACUCGCUUAUGCUAUUUUACCUACGCUUAGGAUGUUGACGCGCGUGUGUGCGUG